GUCUACGGCCAUGCCACCCAAUCCCAUCUGAUCUCGGAAGCUAAGCAGGGUCGGGCCAGGUUAGUACUUGGAUGGGAGACCCCGUAGGAAGACCAGGUGCUGUCGGUG
RNAcentral lists this ribosomal RNA (108 nucleotides) under Pteropus alecto (black flying fox). The record is from RNAcentral. Lineage: Eukaryota; Metazoa; Chordata; Mammalia; Chiroptera; Pteropodidae.